Long non-coding RNA from Xenopus laevis (African clawed frog), 3071 nucleotides. RefSeq lists it as uncharacterized. The transcript has 3 exons. Lineage: Eukaryota; Metazoa; Chordata; Amphibia; Anura; Pipidae. The record is from RefSeq and is a predicted model, not a curated record.
UUUAUGAAACCAUGAUAUAAUGAAAUCAGGAUACACCAAUAUUUUCCUAUUCCUGUACCCAUUUCAUGAGCUAAAGGAGGCCCUGGCCAGAGGAUGGACCUUCAGGUGAGGCUUGUAUUAAUAAAGAAUGACAACCGCUGCUUAAUACAGUCAUUUAUGGUGGAGUUUGAAAUUGCAAUCAGCCUAUUGAAGAAAUUGAGAUAACUACGUUAUCACAGGCAACUACAUUUGUAUCACAGGAAAAAAAAAGGUAUUAAAAAUGCAGGAUAUGGACAGGUGAAGGUCACAAAUGCAUCACUGUUUUCUAUUGGUUACAGGGCUUGGGCAAAAUAUCAGAUUUAAAAGGACCAGUCCUACUUAUAUAAGCAUCUUGGCCUCCUCAGACAUUAUCCCUUCCCAAAUCACCUUUAAUGCAAUUCUGUGAAACUUCCUUCAUGUGCCAUCUUUCACCCAAACACUGAUUCUAUCACUGUGAUCCAGAUAUGAUAUGAUAUCUAUGGCAGCACAGUAACUGCACUGACUCAAUAGGCCACACAUACAAAGAAAUACUCUGUGUACGUAAUAAGCUAUGUAUGUACUGCACAUCUAAAUGGAAAUAAAUGCCAUAUGCAACUUACUAUUAUGAACCUUACUUACAGGGUACACUUCCCCUUUAAGAGCAGGGAACAGAGGUGACUUCACCUUAGGACUGUGACAGUUGGUUCAGUCCGUUGGUUGACACCGUAGUGAUUGGUAAGUGGAUAUUCCCUCUGGGAGAUAUUUUUUGUCAAAUAAUGCUUAUUUUAAUGAAAAAAGAGGGGAAAUAGUUGGGUAACACUCCCCAGACUAACAGAUAUUUAUCCUCUCACUGAUUUUAGUGAAUUUAGAGACUUUUCCCCUAAAAUGGGCUUUGGAGAUGACUUUAAUCUUAGCACUGGUUGGGAGACACAGACUCAGGAUUUGGAAGUUAUGCAGGGCUGACAGCAAAUAUACACCUUUUCUACAGUAACCCCAUAAGGAGGAAUAAAUAGCAAUGCUUCUUCCUUUUACACAAUAACAUUUAUUUAUAAGUCUCAUGAUUUAAGAGCAGAGAUGAGAGGUGACUUUACACCCAGGGAUUUGAUAUUUGGUUUGGUCCGUUGGUUGAGUGGUGAGAGGUAAAUGUGAGAGAUUUUUGUGACAAAUAACCCAUAAUUUAGUCAAAUAAAGGGGGGAAAUAGUUGCGUGAUGCCCCCAGACUAGCGGAUGUUGUUCCUCUUACUGAUUUUAGAGAAUUUUCCCCCUAAAAUGGGCAUUGGAGAUGCUUUUACUCUUAGUGCUGGUUGGGAGACACAGACCCAGGGUUUGACAGUUGGUUUAGUCCGUUGGUUGGUAAACUGGUGAAUGUACUAUCCCUAUAAGAGAUUUAGGGGCUUACAGCAAAUAUACACUUUUUCCCAAUUGAAGCCCAUAAACAGAUAACAUUUGGGGACCCCUGUGCCAGACUAACAGAUAUUGAUUAUGUUACUGAUGUUAUUAAAUUUCCCCCUCAAAUGGACAAUGCCUUUACUUUUAGUGCUGGCUGGGAAAUGCAGACCCAGGGUUUGACAGUUGGUUUAGUCCGUUGGUUGGUAGAGUGGUGAAUGUACUAUCCCUAUAAGAGAUUUUUUGCCAAAUAAUCCUUAUUUUAGUGAAAAGGGGGGUGAUAAAUGUUUGAUACCCCCAAGACUAGCGGAUGAUGCUCCUCUUACUGAUUUUAGAGAAUUUUCCCCCUAAAAUGGGCUUUGGAUAUGCUUUUACACUUAGUGCUGGUUGGGAGACACAGACCCAGGGUUUGACAGUUGGUUUAGUCCGUUGGUUGGUAGACUGGUGAAUGUACUAUCCCUAUAAGAGAUUUAGGGGCUGACAGCAAAUAUACACUUUUUCCCAAUUGAAGCCCAUAAACAGAUGACAUUUGGGGACCCCUGUACCUCACUAUAAAUACUUUAUUUGUAUGACCAGUAUUAACAGGCUCCUUACAGUUUUGCCCCUCUGCCCCUGGGUAUCUAACCUGUUCUGAUAUACCAACCUUAACAUGAAUUUAAUGGAAUACAUAGCAAUGUCUUUUCCUUUCAUGUCUCAUGUGCAUUCCCUUCAAAUGUCCCGGCUGUGGGGGGCAACAGGGUACAUGGUAGGGCAGUAUUGAUUCCAAUCAGAUUUAAUUGCUAUUCUGUAAAUGUUUCCUAUAGCAGGGGGUGGGCAAUCUGCACCUGGCCAGUGAUCUUAUGUACUAUGUAUUCAUACUCUCUAUACCAAUGCUCAUUUCUGAUUGGCUGCUGGGAGGUACUGCAUUGUACAAACUGAGUGCCAGUAAACGCUGGGAGUGACACAAAGCUCACGUUUAGAUCUCUGCUUUCCUCUAUAUUUUAUAGGAAAUAUUAAGUUAAGUGUUAAAAGCAUUAUCCUUGAAACUAAUUUGUCAAUUUAUUCUCUUCCCUAUACAGAUUGCUACAGUGGACGGAUUGCUACUUUUUUGGCAAAUUACCAGCUCUUUUUGGACUGUGUUUUUUCCUGGCUUCUCCUUAGUUCAGAUUUUAACAUUCUUUUCUGAACACAUAUAAGGAGAGCCAGCGUCUAAAGAGGGAGACCCUCUGGGGUCCCCCGGCCUUGUGCCGGCCCCUCUAUUUAAGCCAAAAGCCAAAAACACCUCAGGCGUUUUGGUAUUUUUUUUUUGCUUUUUAUUUUUGAAGAUCUGACAUCUGAGCUUCUUUUAAGAGGAGUCUCAAGAUGGGUGUCCGGAAUUCCUGCAUUCGUGCUACCAAUCCGGACAAUCAUGAGGUUUUGUCUCCAAAACUUUGUGAUAUGCAGCCAAGGUUACAUCUAUUGGCCAAUAAAGAGCAGGUAAUGGGAGAAAUAAAGAAGGAGAUGCGCAUUGCAGCGGGCGCUGAAAAGCUCUACAGAGUGACCUCAGACAAGGAGACCUUAGUCCGUCUGAGGAAGUUUAUGAAGGAGUCGGGGAAAAAGCUGAAAAUUCUUUAUGCCACCCUUCAAAACCUGAAUGUGGCAAUUGCACAGAAGGACCCUGAGAUUCACCCAGGUUCUCCCCAUGACCCACCAACAAAUGCCCCAGAGGA